Molecule: long non-coding RNA, 215 nt
Filed under: Dunaliella salina
Lineage: Eukaryota; Viridiplantae; Chlorophyta; Chlorophyceae; Chlamydomonadales; Dunaliellaceae
Description: long non-coding RNA (DSAL_LNC000351)
Source: RNAcentral
GUGCUCAGGUGCCUCGCGAGAUGUGCUCCCCUGGGGCUCUCUCUUCCUCUUGCUGCUGUCUCCAGAGCCCGUCUGAGCUGGUGCCUGCGGCUGGUGCUCCUGAGGAGCAGGUGCCUUGGGCUUGUGCUCAGGUUGUGCUCUGCUACUGCUGCUUGGGUUGGGGGAGACACUGCUGAAGAUUUGCCGUGCAAGGCUGGGAGUGGGCUCCGCAAGCA